AAUAUUUUUUAAUAUACAGUUCUUAAACAGUAUAGAGAUGAUCUCAGUGCACAGUGAUUUCUGUUUUCUAUCCUUUAAGGCAUGAAGUCAAGACCUUUCAUUUAUCAGCACAUCCAUUGUAAGGUGGGCUGUGCUGGAUGCUAGACACUCCUCCGUCCUCCUCCUGUCACUCACAGACAGCUCUGGCCCGACCCGUCCUGCUGAAGUCUGAAGGAGGAACAGGAAGAUGCUCCAGACCCCGCUGGCAUUUCUGCCUUUGUUUUCAGCAUCAUGAUCUCACAGUGUUGAGGAAUAUACUGCGUUUAGACCAGACCUCAGCUGACGGAAACCCUUCACCUCUAUGCUAAUCACCCAGAGCUCCUUCAAUACCUCAUCUGCAUUUCAUUCUCUGCUUUUGUCUAGUUCAAGAAGAGACUUGUUUCAUUUAAAAAACCUUCUGAUGGACUCCCGAUAACACUGAACAUUAAAAUCUAUUAAUGGUUGGCUGUAAGUUACCUUAUCAUAUGGUGAAAUAAAUGAUACAAGAGGAUAAUACAU
Cyprinus carpio carpio is the source of this 537-nucleotide long non-coding RNA. Lineage: Eukaryota; Metazoa; Chordata; Actinopteri; Cypriniformes; Cyprinidae. The record is from Ensembl.